This 646-nucleotide ribosomal RNA is filed under the name uncultured Methanosarcina sp. RNAcentral describes it as "bacterial SSU rRNA". It matches the Rfam family "Archaeal small subunit ribosomal RNA", at positions 156 to 802 of the family's 1478-position model. Lineage: Archaea; Methanobacteriati; Methanobacteriota; Methanomicrobia; Methanosarcinales; Methanosarcinaceae. The record is from RNAcentral.
AACGCACAUAUGCUGGAAUGCUUUAUGCGUAAAAUGGAUUCGUCUGCCCAAGGAUGGGUCUGCGGCCUAUCAGGUAGUAGUGGGUGUAAUGUACCUACUAGCCAACAACGGGUACGGGUUGCGAGAGCAAGAGCCCGGAGAUGGAUUCUGAGACAUGAAUCCAGGCCCUACGGGGCGCAGCAGGCGCGAAAACUUUACAAUGCGGGAAACCGUGAUAAGGGGACACCGAGUGCCAGCGUCAUACGCUGGCUGUCCAGGUGUGUAAAAUACACCUGUUAGCAAGGGCCGGGCAAGACCGGUGCCAGCCGCCGCGGUAACACCGGCGGCCCGAGUGGUGAUCGUGAUUAUUGGGUCUAAAGGGUCCGUAGCCGGUUUGGUCAGUCCUCCGGGAAAUCUGAUAGCUCAACUAUUAGGCUUUCGGGGGAUACUGCCAGGCUUGGAACCGGGAGAGGUAAGAGGUACUACAGGGGUAGGAGUGAAAUCUUGUAAUCCCUGUGGGACCACCUGUGGCGAAGGCGUCUUACCAGAACGGGUUCGACGGUGAGGGACGAAAGCUGGGGGCACGAACCGGAUUAGAUACCCGGGUAGUCCCAGCCGUAAACGAUGCUCGCUAGGUGUCAGGCAUGGCGCGACCGUGUCUGGUGCC